UACAUAGGUCUCAAGCGUUGUUCGGAUUCAUUGGGCGUAAAGGGUGCGUAGGCGGCGCGGUAAGUCGGGUGUGAAAUCUCGGGGCUUAACUCCGAAACUGCAUUCGAUACUGCCGUGCUUGAGGACUGGAGAGGAGACUGGAAUUUACGGUGUAGCGGUGAAAUGCGUAGAUAUCGUAAGGAAGACCAGUGGCGAAGGCGGGUCUCUGGACAGUUCCUGACGCUGAGGCACGAAGGUCAGGGGAGCAAACGGG
This 253-nucleotide ribosomal RNA is filed under the name uncultured bacterium. Its description in RNAcentral is "partial 16S ribosomal RNA". It matches the Rfam family "Bacterial small subunit ribosomal RNA", at positions 524 to 776 of the family's 1533-position model. The record is from RNAcentral.